RNAcentral lists this ribosomal RNA (730 nucleotides) under Gymnothorax fuscomaculatus (brown spotted moray). RNAcentral describes it as "partial 12S ribosomal RNA subunit". It matches the Rfam family "Bacterial small subunit ribosomal RNA", at positions 189 to 1340 of the family's 1533-position model. The record is from RNAcentral. Lineage: Eukaryota; Metazoa; Chordata; Actinopteri; Anguilliformes; Muraenidae.
CGCACCCCCGUGAGAAUGCCCUUUAACCCCGACAGGAAAAUAGGAGCAGGCAUCAGGCACACAACCGUAGCCCAAUACGCCUUGCUUAGCCACACCCCCAAGGGAACUCAGCAGUGAUAGACAUUAAGCAAUAAGCGAAAGCUUGACUUAGUUAUGGCUAAGAGGGCCGGUAAAACUCGUGCCAGCCACCGCGGUUAUACGAGGGGCCCAAAUUGACGCACCACGGCGUAAAGUGUGAUUAAAGACACCCUAUAACUAAAGUCGAACCCCUCCUAUGCUGUCAUACGCCAAGGAGGACACGAAGAUCAACAACGAAAGUGGCUUUAAGAAUCUUGAACUCACGACAACUAGGGCACAAACUGGGAUUAGAUACCCCACUAUGCCUAGUCUUAAACUAAGAUGAUAUCACAUACAAGUUUCAUCCGCCAGGGAACUACGAGCAACAGCUUAAAACCCAAAGGACUUGGCGGUGCCUCAAACCCACCUAGAGGAGCCUGUCCUAUAACCGAUAAUCCCCGUUAAACCUCACCCCUCCUUGUUACUUCCGCCUAUAUACCGCCGUCGCCAGUUUACCUUGUGAAAGAACAACAGUAAGCAAAACGAGCAACACUCAACACGUCAGGUCGAGGUGUAGCGAAUGGAGGGGGAAGAGAUGGGCUACAUUUUCUGAUAACAGAACAUUACGAAGUGUGCAGUGAAAGGUGCACAGACGAAGGUGGAUUUAGCAGUA